This 253-nucleotide ribosomal RNA is filed under the name uncultured bacterium. RNAcentral's name for it is "partial 16S ribosomal RNA". It matches the Rfam family "Bacterial small subunit ribosomal RNA", at positions 524 to 776 of the family's 1533-position model. The record is from RNAcentral.
UACGGAGGAUGCAAGCGUUAUUCGGAAUGAUUGGGCGUAAAGGGUCCGCAGGUGGCAAUGUAAGUCUGCUGUCAAAGAAUGAGGCUUAACCUCAUCAAGGCAGUGGAAACUACAUAGCUAGAGUACGGUCGGGGUAGAAGGAAUUCCUGGUGUAGCGGUGAAAUGCGUAGAGAUCAGGAAGAACACCGGUGGCGAAAGCGUUCUGCUGGACCUGUACUGACACUGAGGGACGAAAGCUAGGGGAGCGAAUGGG